UAGGGGAUUGGUCAAGUGGUAUGAUAGGGGUCUCCAAAACCUUUGGCGGGGGUUCGAUUCCCUCAUCCCCUGG
RNAcentral lists this transfer RNA (73 nucleotides) under [Clostridium] scindens. Its description in RNAcentral is "tRNA-Trp". It matches the Rfam family "tRNA". Rfam says of the family: Transfer RNA (tRNA) molecules are approximately 80 nucleotides in length. Their secondary structure includes four short double-helical elements and three loops (D, anti-codon, and T loops). Further hydrogen bonds mediate the characteristic L-shaped molecular structure. tRNAs have two regions of fundamental functional importance: the anti-codon, which is responsible for specific mRNA codon recognition, and the 3' end, to which the tRNAs corresponding amino acid is attached (by aminoacyl-tRNA synthetases). tRNAs cope with the degeneracy of the genetic code in two manners: having more than one tRNA (with a specific anti-codon) for a particular amino acid; and 'wobble' base-pairing, i.e. permitting non-standard base-pairing at the 3rd anti-codon position. The record is from RNAcentral. RNAcentral also lists the same sequence under 2 other names. Lineage: Bacteria; Bacillati; Bacillota; Clostridia; Lachnospirales; Lachnospiraceae.